Long non-coding RNA from Papaver somniferum (opium poppy), 2535 nucleotides. RefSeq lists it as uncharacterized. NCBI's taxonomy places the organism in Eukaryota, Viridiplantae, Streptophyta, Magnoliopsida, Ranunculales, Papaveraceae. The transcript is spliced from 5 exons. The record is from RefSeq and is a predicted model, not a curated record.
AUGGAUAAACCACCUUCCUUCGUUCUUCUCCCUUUUUUGGAUAAUAUAAUACAUUUUUUUGCAAAUACAUAAGUAUUCAUCCAAUGUAAAGUUGGGUUUAUCCUUUGAUUACAUUGCGUCGAGCUUGUAGGGGUUUUGGUGGGGAUUAUUGAUGUAGAAGGUGUGAUUUUGAUUUGAAAUGGGUGGUUAUAUGCAUGUGGAGUUAUUUCUAGUAUAAAUAAGUGGUUGAACAAUUAGAACCUUCUAUAAAUCAGUCUUGUAAUGGAUUUAUUAUUCAAAAUUCAAAAAAUAGCUGAUAGAAUGUGGUACAAAAGGAAAUUCUAGUAUUUACGGCUAGCAAAAUGAUAAGAUGACCAAGUUGUAAGAAAGUAUAAGCUUGUAGGUUUUGGGAUAUGUCAGAUUCACGGCUAGUAAUCCAAGACGUAAAACAGAGUUAUUGCUUUAUGUCAGAUUUACGGUUUAGAGUCCUAAUCGUGACACAGAGACACGGCCUGGAUAUCUAGUCAUAACAAAGAUUCAAAUAUUUUUUUAGUUUAUCAGAGAAACCAACGACUAGGUCAUUUCCAACCGUAACACAAAGACUAUUAUGUUACCUAACCGUGGCAAGCAUUACAACCAGAAAUUUCUAACAGGGACCAUAUCCAUUUUUUUUUGUCAAACUCACAGACAAUUACGGUUAGAAUCUAUCUUACAAAAACAAAUGAUCUUUGUCCAAUCCGACGGUUCAGAAUUUACCUUUUUAAGGAUCUACGGUUUGGAUUGCUUUAAAAGUGGAAAAGAUAAAUCUCGGGUCAGAAUGCACCCACCUUUUACUCCCUAAUCCACCGUCUGUGAGGAAGUCGAGCACAAAUUCCAACAAGUGAAAGCUUAAUUUCAGGAAACAUUUAUUCAUAUAUUGUCCGUUACGAACUAAAAUCCCCGUUUGAAGACAUUUAUCACCCGAUUAUGCCUCAGUGAUAUCAAUCUCUAUGGUUUCUGAAACGCUCAAUCACAUGCUCAGGGCUUUUGCAUUCGUGCUUGCAGCAGGCGAUCAAGUUAUUUCAGGGCUUUUGCAUUCGUGCUUGCAGCAGGCGAUCAAGUUAUUUCAGGUUAUUUUCUGCUGGACAGGGUGAUAGCUACAACUGCUAGCCAGCGAAGUAAUUGCUUUCUUAUAAAGUUACUCAUUCGAUUUAGAAGAAUAAGAACAAGGUGAGAAAUAAAGGUUUUCGAGUGUUAAGUGGAAGGAAAAAUUACGCGGUAUGAUUUGCUCGGUAUGAUCUGCUGGAGUGAGUACAGAAACUUGGAAGAGUCAAUACAUAUUUUUUGUUGCUUUGGCAGUUUGGAUGAUCAUAGGGUAUUUGUUUUGAUAAAUGGGUUGCAAUUAUGGGUAUACCUAGGUAAACAAAGUUGUGUAUCUGUUCUAAAAUAGUUUGGGACAAAUACUUAGACCUGUUAAGUUGUUUGAUGAUUUGAUAAUAUCUGUUUGCUUAAUCUGUGAGAAUUGUGGAAUCGUUGAGGGAAUUUUGUAAAGAAUCAGUAGUUUGAUAAAUGUGUCUAAUUUUUGAUAUUUUUUUUGGAGAAAUUGGAGGCACUUUGUAUUGUAUCACUUAUGGAGGCUAUUUUGGAGACAAAAAUAAGUGAACGACGUCUUUUAUCUUUAGGGGUGUAUUGACACAGUUUGAUAGUUGUUCCUUUUUUUGUUUAUUUGGCAUAUAACUUCAUAACAACAUCAACAAUUUUCCAUUCAGCACCGACGAAUAACGACAUUAUGCAAACUGUUGCUGCUGCAGUCCAAAUUUGGCUACAAAGAUGCAUCUAGGACUGUUAUCAAGUUGUCCACAGUGAGUUUGGUAUCUUUGGAUUCCACUGGGGAUAAUAUACACACCACUACGCAGGGAACUUUCUGAAGUUCACACUUCUGACUAAAAUGGUUUAGUCUUUAUGCACUUGAUCUACUUACUGCGUCAGUAGUACUUUUGAUUAGCUGCAUAAAUACUGAGCAAAUUUUGCUUAGAAAAAUUACAACUUUUUUACGAUAACCACUUUCUACUCUCCAACUCGCAUAGAGCUUUUUUGUUUUUUUUUUUGUUUUGAGCAGACAGCCGGGGAACUCGCGUAGAGUUACGGUAAGCAUAUAUCCUUCAUUUCACUGUGUUGUUUGCUAUAUGUUGUGGUUAGAUGUUUUUAUGAGCAGAUUCUGGGUGCAUAUUCCGAGAAAAGCGUCCACUACAGCUUGCACCAAUAUGAUCCGGACCAUAUAGUAUCAGAUGGGUGAUCUUUAACAACCAAGUCUGGUGGUGACAGUGGAGAGAAACAUCUACAAUUCACAUGUCAUUAACAUUGUUUCACUUUUUAAGCACCAGUCUAUGGCACAAUAGUAGCCGUCUUAACACAAGUACAAAAUCUGCAUGUUUCAUUCAUGGUAGAUUCACUCGCCGGCCUGUAAUUUUUCGGUUAUAUGACUAAUUCUGAAACUUCAUUGAUAGCCCAUGUAGCUAAUGCACACUCGCUAUGCGCCAUUAGGUUUGUGUCUAUUGAUUGUUUUCAUUGUAUAUA